GGUGAUUUAUAAGAAAUCGUCUGCUUGCAGUUUGUACGUCUAACCGGGUAAACGAGCGAGUAGUAAACGACAAGCAGACUUAAAUGUUUUAAUAUUUCUGGAUAUAUUAUAGCUUAUUUUAACUUCUAUAUUGAAAGUAUGUAUGUUUUCCCAUCGUGUACUUCUGCAGUCGGGCGUUUCGACCAUAGACUGUAAAAGGUUUCAACAGCUGAGGGAUGCUCUUUAACUACCAUUAAUCUCGGCGCUGCUUUAACAAAAAAGAAGGAGUUCCCUUAAAAGUUCUGCGAUGGAGUUUACAGAUGAGGAGAAAAUAUGGCUGCAAAGAGUGUCUGCUGAAAUACCUGAAGGAAAUGAACUCACUGCAAAAGAGAAGCAGUUACAGGAGAAAGCAAAGCCAGAGACUGAAUUUCAGGCCCAGAUCUUCCAAACUAUGGCCUCCAUACAAUUUGGACUGAAUGAUCUAAUAACCUCAACAAUAGAGGUGAAAAACUCUGUCCAGCAGAGGAGCAGCGUCUCAUCACAAUGUGGAUAAACAUCAAAUACCAAGAUGAUGUUGCGUUUACUUUUUCUUUUUGGUUAUAUAACUGAAUAUUCAAAAUAAACUAACCUAAAAAAAAAUCUUCUGUACAUAACAGUGAUAUCAAGUGACUUUGGCACUUUGUAAUUGGCCGCAAGAAUACAAGUUAAUCUUUUUCAUGAUCUCAGCAGGGUAUUCUUACGUCAUUAAUGAUUUAUUAGUGGAUGUCAGGUUUAGAUCAUAGUUACACCAGAGAAUGUAGCAUUGAGUUUUAGUGACCUCAGCUCAUGAAAUGUUUCCUCCGCUAUGUACAACAGGACACUUCACUAUGCUAUGUAAUGCUGACUUUGAGAAAAUAAUGCUAUUGCUGUUUGCAUGCUCUUUUAUUGUUGUACGAUCUAUGAAAUCAUGAGAAAACAGUAAACCAAUUUGUUGUUAUUCUUUUUUUUUUUUUAUGUUAUUGGUGCUUUUUUAACAAUAGACAUUAAUGCUUUUGAAAUGUUUGCCAUGCAUAGUUCUCCAAAAACUCAGUAUGCUUUGUUUUUUAUCAUGUUUGCAGGGAUGAUAACAUCUCUACCUCAAAUACAAUAGCAAACCGUAUACAAUACAUAUUUUAGUUUGCACACAUGUAAAAUAAAUCGGACCAUGGGAUUUUGGACAGUUGCAGAGUUCUAAUUUUCAGAUUUUUCGAUAUUGUUUAUUUAUAUGAUCUCUAUCCAUGACUCACACAAAGCUUUAAAAAAUGUUAUUUUCAAAAUGUCUGUGCAUUCCACUCUGUUUCCAAUUUUAG
RNAcentral lists this long non-coding RNA (1307 nucleotides) under Sinocyclocheilus grahami. RNAcentral describes it as "lncRNA (ENSSGRG00000007536.1)". Lineage: Eukaryota; Metazoa; Chordata; Actinopteri; Cypriniformes; Cyprinidae. The record is from RNAcentral.